This 497-nucleotide ribosomal RNA is filed under the name uncultured bacterium. RNAcentral's name for it is "partial 16S ribosomal RNA". It matches the Rfam family "Bacterial small subunit ribosomal RNA", at positions 28 to 507 of the family's 1533-position model. The record is from RNAcentral.
GAUGAACGCUGGCGGCGUGCCUAAUACAUGCAAGUCGAGCGAACGGACGAGAAGCUUGCUUCUCUGAUGUUAGCGACGGACGGGUGAGUAACACGUGGAUGACCUACCUAUAAGACUGGGAUAACUUCGGGAAACCGGAGCUAAUACCGGAUGAUAUUUUGAACCGCAUGGUUCAAAAGAGAAAGACGGUCUUGCUGUCACGUAUAGAUGGAUCCGCGCUGCAUUAGCUAGUUGGUAAGGUAACGGCUUACCAAGGCAACGAUGCAUAGCCGACCUGAGAGGGUGAUCGGCCACACUGGAACUGAGACACGGUCCAGACUCCUACGGGAGGCAGCAGUAGGGAAUCUUCCGCAAUGGGCGAAAGCCUGACGGAGCAACGCCGCGUGAGUGAUGAAGGUCUUCGGAUCGUAAAACUCUGUUAUUAGGGAAGAACAUAUGUGUAAGUAACUGUGCACAUCUUGACGGUACCUAAUCAGAAAGCCACGGCUAACUACGUG